AUGUUGGGGGUCGUGCUCUCGCGGCUGCCGUCGCACGCCGACCGCGUCCGCCUCGCCGCCGUCUGCCGCCCAUGGCGCUCCAGCGCGCGGCUGCUGCGUCCGCUACCCACGCUGCUCCCGUGGCUCGCCCUCUGCGAUGGCACCUUCCUCAGCCUCCCCGACGGCGCCGUGCACCGCCUGCCCGUCGCGGACGACGCCUCGAGCCGAGUCUCCACCGGCAGCGCGCUCUUCCUCGUGCACGGCGACAACAAGUGCUGCCUGAUGAACCCUUCUCCGGUAAUGACGACCCCUGUCCCUGAGGCCGGCGACUGGUUCCGAGAAAACCCGACCGUCCGGAAGGUGUUAAUGUCCGAUCACCUCGUCGCCGCCCUGGUGGACUCCAAAAAGCUCAGCAUCAACAGCUCCACGACCACGAAAGUCAUCAUCUCCAUACGUGGGCAGCCAUGGGACACCACGAGUUGCUCCACGACGGAGUGGACGGCGCCUGAAGACAGCUUCGUCAGCGACAUCGCGCUCUUCAAAGGAAAGCUCUACGUCCUCCUCGACACACAAGACGAGGAAUACGGACAGCAGCAUGAGCUCCGUGUCCUGGACGACGGCCGCGAGCAGACAGCCAUCCCCGGUACCCGAUUCCACGGGCACGAAUCGUUUAAUGCUUACGCGACGGACAUGUACGUGCAGCGGAACUAUCUCGUCGUCUCCGGCGACCGGCUGCUGAUGGUGGAACGAAGGAUCUACCAGCCGCCGAUGUUCCCGGUAGACUCAGGGAUUGAGAAGCGGACUCGUCUCUUCAAGGUCUUCGCGGCAACGGAGCUGAGCAGCGGAUGUGGACUCUGGACCGAGGUCGAUACGUUGAUGGGGCGCGCGCUUUUUGUCAGCGAAGGCUGCUCGCAGUCUCUCUCCGCCGGGGAUCAAUCUAGCGGUGUCGGAGCUCGAGAAGAUUGCAUCUACUUUGUAAACGAGGAUCACACAGAUACAGACAUCUCUGAAUCCGAAGAGGAAAUCUGUGAGAACCCCUUUCUAGACUCUGGCGUGUAUAACAUGGCAGAUCAGACAGUGACGCCGUUGCCGUCGAAGGCUGUGGCGGCGCCCGCUGCCGGCGACGGACCAUGCACAUGGUCGAGGCUGAAGAAAUCAUCUUCUGUGUGGUACGGGAAUAUGAUAUUGAGUCCAAAACUACAAGCUGCAAAUCUGCACAAGGAGGGUGUAGAUCUUGUGCAACAAGCAGACCCACAAAAGCAAGAUAAAGCAUGUGAAGACUAUGGCUUAGACAGAGCAUCUUCUCCGACAUGGAAGGCAUCGAUGCAAAUUGCGCAUGUUGAAUACGAGCCAUCAAGAACGAUUUUAGUGCCCUAUGUAGGAUAUGAAGUGGAGGCGGGCCAGUUGCAAGCCCAACAACAACCCCGCAACUGUAAGUGCCGCACCCGACAACAACUGCAUAUCCCUGAACAUGGUUGCAACCAGACUUUCUUUUGUCGGAGGAGGCGGCGGAAGAGGGGGCAGACUAGUUGCAUGUCCGACUCUAGGCAUGCAAUUGCAACUUUUGUUUUGUCGGAGGGGGCGGCGGGAGAGAGGGCGGACCAGUUUAACUGCAAGUGUCACCCUCGACCACAACUGCAUGUCUUCUUACCCGACCACAAUUGGACUCUUUUUCUGUCGAAGGGGGCGCCGGUAGAGAGGGUGGGCCAGUUGCAAGCCCGACAACAGCCCCGCAACUGCAAGUGCCGCACCCGACCGCAACUGCAUGUCCCCCAACAUGCUUGCAACUGGACUAUUGUUUUGUCGGAGGGGGCGAAGGGAGAGGGGUAA
Molecule: ribosomal RNA, 1809 nt
Filed under: Triticum aestivum (bread wheat)
Lineage: Eukaryota; Viridiplantae; Streptophyta; Magnoliopsida; Poales; Poaceae
Description: partial small subunit ribosomal RNA
Source: RNAcentral